Molecule: long non-coding RNA, 2730 nt
Organism: Haliotis rubra (blacklip abalone)
Lineage: Eukaryota; Metazoa; Mollusca; Gastropoda; Lepetellida; Haliotidae
Exons: 8
Source: RefSeq, a predicted model, not a curated record
ACGUCUGAGCCUCCAGCCAGGAACUAGAUAUGAGUUCAAGGUGAAGGCCAGGAACACCAGGAUCAGAACAACGAGGGGCCGUUCACACGGGUCGAGUCACAGGACACAAAAUCUGCUCCAAACCAGACAGAUGCCUCAGAGUCAUCACUUGGAGGUGGACUUGGUGUGGGGCUAGGGAUAUGCAUCAUCAUUAUCAUAGUGUUGGUGGCAGCGCUGUUCUAUCGUAGAAGACCUCACCUAUUGUCAACACGUGAUCGAGGUAAAACUGUUGCUCAGAUCCAAGAGUGAGACACGGGGAGCGAACAAUUGAUAAUAAUGAAAACUCAGAUAUCCAGGACCUUAGUCAGUAUGCCUGGUUUGAGGAGUGUGUCUCACAGCCAUAUUCCCAGUUGAAGAUCUAUGAAAACACAAAAGGUCGUGUGACACAUGAGCCGGAGUAUGAAGGUCUACAGGAAAGGUCGCCAGCCACCUACGAAACUGUGGCGUUACAUACGUACGAAAACAUUGACAGGAAAGUAAAAGAUCCGACGUACGCCAAUGUGCAAUCAACAAGAUGAAACAAACUGAAUAAGGCAAGCAAAGAUGAAAGGAUAACUUUGCAGACAGUGUUCACUUAAGUCAGGCGUCCAUAUAUUACAUCAUUAGCACGUUUUAAUAUUUCUCCUGAAAUCAUCUUCAGGAACUGAAGUCUCUCUUGAAACAUCUCUCUGAGUACAACCCGUUACACACAGAUUAUGAUCCACUACAAUAUUGCAACUUUGUGUGCAUACUUUCUCAUAGGAUUUGAUUCAGAAACAUGUUGUUGUACAAAGUGCUUUGGUACAAACUUUAAAGAAUGGAGAAUAUUGUUCCAAACAGACUUCAAUGUACAUGUAUUCCAUAUAUAUUGUAUAGACCUCCAUAUACAAUCACUAGAUUAAGGACAACAACAGUGAUAUUGGUAUGUGGGGCAUUAUUUGCCAAGUCUCUUCCUGGGUGAAGCUGCUUCCCAAUAUUCCUUGUUUCAAGUUAAGAGAACACAUUACUGAGUGAAUGAGUGAUUUUAGUUUUAAGCCACACUCAGCAAUAUUUCAGCUAUAUGGCGUAGAACACAUUGCUGAAUACAAGGCAUAUAGCGUCAAUCAAACUUUCUAUAUUUUCAAGUUUGAAUUACCGUAAAUGCCUAGUGGAAACAUACACAUUGAUUUACAUGGUGCAAUUAGAACUACACAUGUACAUAUUUUCGCACUGCGUCCCCAAAUAUCUUAGCAAUAUCAUCAGCUAUAAACUGAUGAAAUCAUUACACACACAGCGUAUCAAAGAAACAUGAUUUAUUACCACAUGAAUCAGUAAAGAACUCAAGCCGAAUGAUAUGUAAUGAAGAUGUACAGUUAUUGUACUCUGCAAAUAACACACAGACACACACACACAGACACACACACAAACACACAGACAUACCAAAGGAUUAAGUUUAAUGUAAAACUCCGUUCCUGCUGUAUUGUUUACACAUAUAUUCUGUCGUUUUGUGCAUGCUGAAUCUCAUUUUGCUACUUUACACCAACCAAGUAACUGUUUGUAGGGUCUGCGUACGUCGUGAAUUAUUAUUUCAAAUCCUUUUGAAAGAAUGUACACAUCAAUCAAACUGGCACAGGUUUUAACGUCGGUAAAACUUUCGUGUAAGUGUUGUAAAACAUGAGCAGGUGUUGUUUACCUCCAGGAGAUAGGUAAUACAUAACAAUACAUUGAUAGGUCAAAAUCUAUCCCCAGAAUAGCAUAAUGUCACUGUAGGUUAAAAAACAAACGAAAAGAAUCAGUGGAAUUGAUAUUCAGUUGAAUGGCACCAUCCGUUGAAGUAUAUCCUUUACAUAAAGGAAUAACGGUGCUUUUGGUUUUGGACCUAGCCCCGUCAAACACCUAUGUUGUCGUGUGUGUGGAUGAUCCGACUCAAGGCUUAAACUGACGGAUCUUCGAGUGCAUAGCUGUAAUUUAACAUUCAGUCAAAGCAGGGGUAAUGUCUGUUACCACAUUUACUCCCCGAACCUGUUUCAGGAAUGAUGAUAUUACAUCUACACUGGAUCAUUGACCAGUAUCAGUAGUUUAUUUACUUGAACAUGAAUUCAUUGCUUGAAUUUAUUUUGAUUGAGGACCUUGACAUACGAUUCCGUUUAUAUCAGUUCAUGCUCCUUAGCUUCAAGGUAAUUUUAGAUACCGGCACAAAGGACGGACAGGUCAACGUGGGACUGUUAUCUUAUAAUAGUUGCAUGUCGUCAGGGCGCCAACUGUGCCAGACCCUGAUGUUUUCCUUUGCUGACUUUAGUGUCACUAUUUACAUAUUACUUAUAAAAUAUGUAAAUCUGUCUAGACAUUUGUAAACGUAUACACGGGAGAGUAGCUGCAUGACUUCUUAUCAACCAAGCCAUGUUCAUGCAUUUUUCAGUCUUCUUGAUGACAACUGUAAAUAACAGGGUAUCAUGCGCCACAUAUUGGUGUCUUACAGGUGUGUGUUAGUGUUUGACGAGGAUGACUUACUCCUCUAGUUAUAGGAAGGGGUAGCCGGAGUGGUGUGGCACAAAUACGAAAGGGAAAUUGUCUUUGCCAGGAGCUUGACAUACCUCUCAAAUGGAGCAUGUAAAUACCACCCUCACACACCAUACACCCACGCACACGAUACAAUGGAUCUAUUUCUCAGUAAUGUGGCACUUUGUACCCCUUUUUGAGUUAUCUCAUCCCAUAAUAUAUGCAUUGUGUAUU